CUUUUUCUGCUCAUGUGGUAGAUGAAUUAUUCAUACUUCAACUCCUUCUCCAAGUGAGGAUAGGCUAACUUCAGGUGAUUUUGAAAAGACUUCAAACCAGCUGUCUGUAUUUGCAGACCACCUCAUACAGCCAGAUCCCCAGGUGAUAUCAUGGGCAGACUUCCACUCUACAGACAAAACCUCUGAUUUACAAAGGACGAGACAUCAUCAGGCUGGAACCCAUCAGCCUGUGCCCCUCCCUGCCUGACUCCAAGUGUUCAACAGCUAGACAUGUCCUACUAAUUAAAAUUUCCUAAGAGUUUGAGAAAACAAGUGCCUGGAUAGAAAAGGCAGCUCUCACCAGGGCCUCACUGAGGAAGAGGAUGGUGAGUAGAGUAACCCUUCACUAGAAAGUUCAUAAGGAGACUGGGUAGUGGGAGAGAGGGAGGCUGUGUAAGUGCUAAACAGGGAAGCUUCAGAAAGGAAGCUUCAUCCCAGGGAGCACCUCUGAGCACAGCCCAGAUCCCAAGCAAAUCUAUCUUCUCCAGUUCUGCUACUCCCCUGAUGACUUCUCUCCUACCUUGUGGGUAUCCCUUUCAAGGGCACCAGACUUUGCCAGAGACCUUGGUAUCACAGCUCCUUGCUAGCUGAGCUCCUCAAAGAGGUCUGCUUGAACUGCCAGAGCAUGGGCAAUGCCUUGGUCACAAGCUUUGUGGUAGUUGCACAGGCAGAGCCUGGCCCUUACCUCCCUCCCAGCCUCUCAUCAGAGAAUUCUGCAGGCUGAGCACAAGAUGGUAUUGCUUGUAGUGCUAAUGGACAGGCACCUGGCUCCCCAUGUUUCAGAGCUGAACUGGCAGUCAUGCUAUUAAAGGCUGGAUGGUUUUUAUGGCUUUGUGCAGGCAUGGGUAACAAACACAACUGAACCCUGGAUUUCAGAAAGAACGUCUGAUGUCCCAGCCCAAAGAAAUCCUCUGUUGCAUUACAUCACCCCACAGUGCGUUUGGUCUGAGCAUGUUGCAGAGGUCACUGUCUUUGCUCUCUUCGAUGGAUCAGUGUUAUGGAUACAUACUGUAAAUCUCAUGCUUGGAUACCUCUUGGAAAUAUUUCAAACAUACAAGCCCUGGGAAGAGGGGACUUUGCCAAGCAUACACAUUGUUCCCAGAGGGGGAGCUGUGUAUCUCCUACUACUGGAGCAGGGCGAGGGUCAGUGGUUUUGCAGAUCAGUUGCCCUCCUUGCAGGACCAAGGGGAGACCGAGCCAGACUGCCUGGCAAUCUGCAUGUUGGUGCCAACUUUCACAUGGAAUGACCAGAGGGGAGGUGUGACCGUGUAACUUUCUCUGGAUAUGUAAAACUUAACUCAUGGGUUAAGCUGAAGGUGCCUGCCUUUCCCUGCUGCCUAUUCCCAAGUUUCAGAUAGGUGAUGCUAAGAGCAGCAAAUCCUUCUCCUGGCAAGUGGUAGCUCUUACUCUGCAAACAAGCAUUUGUAUACCCCGGGCAGCCCUUGGGCAAUCAUCUUCUCACCCCAGUGACCAGCUGGGCUUACUGGAUGCAAAUCAGGCAGGACACACAGAAAAGACAGCUCAGCCCUCACUCUGCUCUGGCAGCCCUGUUGGGGGUUAGGCUCCAUGUAGGCACCCGAAUCAGUCUUGGAAACCAAGAAACUGGAAA
Molecule: long non-coding RNA, 1648 nt
Organism: Catharus ustulatus (Swainson's thrush)
Lineage: Eukaryota; Metazoa; Chordata; Aves; Passeriformes; Turdidae
Exons: 2
Source: RefSeq, a predicted model, not a curated record